RNAcentral lists this ribosomal RNA (502 nucleotides) under uncultured bacterium. Its description in RNAcentral is "bacterial SSU rRNA". It matches the Rfam family "Bacterial small subunit ribosomal RNA", at positions 16 to 518 of the family's 1533-position model. The record is from RNAcentral.
AUCUUGGUUCAGGAUGAACGCUGGCGGCGUGCUUAACACAUGCAAGUCGAACGGAGUUUUUAAACGGAAGUUUUCGGAUGGAAGUUUAGAAACUUAGUGGCGGACGGGUGAGUAACGCGUGGGUAACCUGCCUCAUACAGGGGGAUAACAGUUAGAAAUGACUGCUAACACCGCAUAAUAUAGCGAAACCGCAUGAUUUUGCUAUCAAAUAUUUAUAGGUAUGAGAUGGGCCCGCGUCUGAUUAGCUAGUUGGUGGGGUAAAGGCCUACCAAGGCGACGAUCAGUAGCCGGCUUGAGAGAGUGACCGGCCACAUUGGGACUGAGACACGGCCCAAACUCCUACGGGAGGCAGCAGUGGGGAAUAUUGGACAAUGGGGGAAACCCUGAUCCAGCGACGCCCGCGUGAGUGAAGAAGUAUUUCGGUAUGUAAAGCUCUAUCAGCAGGGAAGAUAAUGACAGUACCUGACUAAGAAGCCCCGGCUAACUACGUGCCAGCAGCAGC